This 2904-nucleotide ribosomal RNA is filed under the name Escherichia coli. Its description in RNAcentral is "23S ribosomal RNA". It matches the Rfam family "Bacterial large subunit ribosomal RNA". The record is from RNAcentral. Lineage: Bacteria; Pseudomonadati; Pseudomonadota; Gammaproteobacteria; Enterobacterales; Enterobacteriaceae.
GGUUAAGCGACUAAGCGUACACGGUGGAUGCCCUGGCAGUCAGAGGCGAUGAAGGACGUGCUAAUCUGCGAUAAGCGUCGGUAAGGUGAUAUGAACCGUUAUAACCGGCGAUUUCCGAAUGGGGAAACCCAGUGUGAUUCGUCACACUAUCAUUAACUGAAUCCAUAGGUUAAUGAGGCGAACCGGGGGAACUGAAACAUCUAAGUACCCCGAGGAAAAGAAAUCAACCGAGAUUCCCCCAGUAGCGGCGAGCGAACGGGGAGCAGCCCAGAGCCUGAAUCAGUGUGUGUGUUAGUGGAAGCGUCUGGAAAGGCGCGCGAUACAGGGUGACAGCCCCGUACACAAAAAUGCACAUACUGUGAGCUCGAUGAGUAGGGCGGGACACGUGGUAUCCUGUCUGAAUAUGGGGGGACCAUCCUCCAAGGCUAAAUACUCCUGACUGACCGAUAGUGAACCAGUACCGUGAGGGAAAGGCGAAAAGAACCCCGGCGAGGGGAGUGAAAAAGAACCUGAAACCGUGUACGUACAAGCAGUGGGAGCACGCUUAGGCGUGUGACUGCGUACCUUUUGUAUAAUGGGUCAGCGACUUAUAUUCUGUAGCAAGGUUAACCGAAUAGGGGAGCCGAAGGGAAACCGAGUCUUAACUGGGCGUUAAGUUGCAGGGUAUAGACCCGAAACCCGGUGAUCUAGCCAUGGGCAGGUUGAAGGUUGGGUAACACUAACUGGAGGACCGAACCGACUAAUGUUGAAAAAUUAGCGGAUGACUUGUGGCUGGGGGUGAAAGGCCAAUCAAACCGGGAGAUAGCUGGUUCUCCCCGAAAGCUAUUUAGGUAGCGCCUCGUGAAUUCAUCUCCGGGGGUAGAGCACUGUUUCGGCAAGGGGGUCAUCCCGACUUACCAACCCGAUGCAAACUGCGAAUACCGGAGAAUGUUAUCACGGGAGACACACGGCGGGUGCUAACGUCCGUCGUGAAGAGGGAAACAACCCAGACCGCCAGCUAAGGUCCCAAAGUCAUGGUUAAGUGGGAAACGAUGUGGGAAGGCCCAGACAGCCAGGAUGUUGGCUUAGAAGCAGCCAUCAUUUAAAGAAAGCGUAAUAGCUCACUGGUCGAGUCGGCCUGCGCGGAAGAUGUAACGGGGCUAAACCAUGCACCGAAGCUGCGGCAGCGACGCUUAUGCGUUGUUGGGUAGGGGAGCGUUCUGUAAGCCUGCGAAGGUGUGCUGUGAGGCAUGCUGGAGGUAUCAGAAGUGCGAAUGCUGACAUAAGUAACGAUAAAGCGGGUGAAAAGCCCGCUCGCCGGAAGACCAAGGGUUCCUGUCCAACGUUAAUCGGGGCAGGGUGAGUCGACCCCUAAGGCGAGGCCGAAAGGCGUAGUCGAUGGGAAACAGGUUAAUAUUCCUGUACUUGGUGUUACUGCGAAGGGGGGACGGAGAAGGCUAUGUUGGCCGGGCGACGGUUGUCCCGGUUUAAGCGUGUAGGCUGGUUUUCCAGGCAAAUCCGGAAAAUCAAGGCUGAGGCGUGAUGACGAGGCACUACGGUGCUGAAGCAACAAAUGCCCUGCUUCCAGGAAAAGCCUCUAAGCAUCAGGUAACAUCAAAUCGUACCCCAAACCGACACAGGUGGUCAGGUAGAGAAUACCAAGGCGCUUGAGAGAACUCGGGUGAAGGAACUAGGCAAAAUGGUGCCGUAACUUCGGGAGAAGGCACGCUGAUAUGUAGGUGAAGUGAUUUACUCAUGGAGCUGAAAUCAGUCGAAGAUACCAGCUGGCUGCAACUGUUUAUUAAAAACACAGCACUGUGCAAACACGAAAGUGGACGUAUACGGUGUGACGCCUGCCCGGUGCCGGAAGGUUAAUUGAUGGGGUUAGCGCAAGCGAAGCUCUUGAUCGAAGCCCCGGUAAACGGCGGCCGUAACUAUAACGGUCCUAAGGUAGCGAAAUUCCUUGUCGGGUAAGUUCCGACCUGCACGAAUGGCGUAAUGAUGGCCAGGCUGUCUCCACCCGAGACUCAGUGAAAUUGAACUCGCUGUGAAGAUGCAGUGUACCCGCGGCAAGACGGAAAGACCCCGUGAACCUUUACUAUAGCUUGACACUGAACAUUGAGCCUUGAUGUGUAGGAUAGGUGGGAGGCUUUGAAGUGUGGACGCCAGUCUGCAUGGAGCCGACCUUGAAAUACCACCCUUUAAUGUUUGAUGUUCUAACGUGGACCCGUAAUCCGGGUUGCGGACAGUGUCUGGUGGGUAGUUUGACUGGGGCGGUCUCCUCCUAAAGAGUAACGGAGGAGCACGAAGGUUGGCUAAUCCUGGUCGGACAUCAGGAGGUUAGUGCAAUGGCAUAAGCCAGCUUGACUGCGAGCGUGACGGCGCGAGCAGGUGCGAAAGCAGGUCAUAGUGAUCCGGUGGUUCUGAAUGGAAGGGCCAUCGCUCAACGGAUAAAAGGUACUCCGGGGAUAACAGGCUGAUACCGCCCAAGAGUUCAUAUCGACGGCGGUGUUUGGCACCUCGAUGUCGGCUCAUCACAUCCUGGGGCUGAAGUAGGUCCCAAGGGUAUGGCUGUUCGCCAUUUAAAGUGGUACGCGAGCUGGGUUUAGAACGUCGUGAGACAGUUCGGUCCCUAUCUGCCGUGGGCGCUGGAGAACUGAGGGGGGCUGCUCCUAGUACGAGAGGACCGGAGUGGACGCAUCACUGGUGUUCGGGUUGUCAUGCCAAUGGCACUGCCCGGUAGCUAAAUGCGGAAGAGAUAAGUGCUGAAAGCAUCUAAGCACGAAACUUGCCCCGAGAUGAGUUCUCCCUGACUCCUUGAGAGUCCUGAAGGAACGUUGAAGACGACGACGUUGAUAGGCCGGGUGUGUAAGCGCAGCGAUGCGUUGAGCUAACCGGUACUAAUGAACCGUGAGGCUUAACCUU